UCUCGCAGCUGCCGGCGUCAUUUUUGUGAUUUGCAGCUAGUAAUCUGGCUCCAGUUGCAUAGUCACAAAAGUGAUCGUUGGCAGCCGUGCCU
Molecule: microRNA precursor, 92 nt
Organism: Amazona collaria (yellow-billed parrot)
Lineage: Eukaryota; Metazoa; Chordata; Aves; Psittaciformes; Psittacidae
Product: microRNA 153-1
Source: Ensembl